UGGAGCACAGGGUUCUGUUUUUCAGAACUACUGGUACCUGUUGGAUUUCUUCAUGUUCCUGUUCUGUGUUUUUGCUUGGUCUUUCCAACAACUCUUUUGGUCAAGGGGUUUUUAUCGGGUUGACCCUGAUGGUCCUGUUGAACUGAUCUUGGUGAGUUUCCCCUGCAUCAGAGUUGUUCCUUGUGGUAACCAUUUUGCAGAAAAAAGUCGAACUGGGCAGAAAAAGUCGAACUAGGGAGAAAGUCGAACUGGAGGGAAAAAGUCGAUCACAAGGAAAAAGUCGAUCUCGAGAGCUGAGACUUGGCUUCCGAGAAGCUUUUCUGGCACCUGAUCUCUCGAAAAAAGUUAUCUUGAAAUCACAGAUGACGCAAACUGAUGAGGGUGGGCCCGGACAUGGUCAGUACGGGUCUGGGUCCAGAUUAUCCAGUCCCGGACCCGGCUAUUAUACAUGUAUUAUUCUCAAAAUGAAACAGAAUAAAAGAUGGACUAAAUAUUAGAUUAAAAAAUGAGAAGACUAUUACCUUAAUUUCCUUUUUU
RNAcentral lists this long non-coding RNA (537 nucleotides) under Zostera marina. RNAcentral describes it as "long non-coding RNA (ZMAR_LNC005519)". The record is from RNAcentral. Lineage: Eukaryota; Viridiplantae; Streptophyta; Magnoliopsida; Alismatales; Zosteraceae.